This 329-nucleotide ribosomal RNA is filed under the name uncultured eukaryote. Its description in RNAcentral is "partial 18S ribosomal RNA". It matches the Rfam family "Eukaryotic small subunit ribosomal RNA", at positions 1470 to 1796 of the family's 1831-position model. The record is from RNAcentral.
CCCUUAGAUGUUCUGGGCCGCACGCGGGCUACACUGAUGCAUUCAACGAGUCUAAAACCUGCUCUGAUAGGGGUGGGUAAUCUUUUGAAUGUGCAUCGUGAUUGGGAUAGAUGAUUGCAAUUUUUCAUCUUCAACGAGGAAUGCCUAGUAAACGCAAGUCAUCAGCUUGCAUUGAUUACGUCCCUGCCCUUUGUACACACCGCCCGUCGCUCCUACCGAUUGAAUGAUCCGAUGAAUAUCAUGGAUUGAGGAUGCAAGCAGGUUCGCCUGUCUUCAUCUUCGAGAAGUGAAGUAAAUCUUAUCAUUUAGAGGAAGGAGAAGUCGUAACA